Molecule: long non-coding RNA, 2377 nt
Filed under: Homo sapiens (human)
Lineage: Eukaryota; Metazoa; Chordata; Mammalia; Primates; Hominidae
Description: PREDICTED lncRNA (TCONS_00199551)
Source: RNAcentral
CGGGGCUUCAUCCUCCAUAUCAGGUGACAGUGCCCUGACCCCAGGCCUGGCUCCCUCCUUCUCUGCAGGUGAUAGCACCCUGACCCCCAGCUCUGGGCUCCUGUCUCUCCAUAGGAGGAAGCCUUAAUUUUAGCACCAAGUUUAAAGACCCAGCACCUGCACAUCAUGUCAACGGCCCUCCCCUCUGUCCCUGGAGCCCUGCUCCCCGACUCCCUGGGCCUCACUGUAUCCUGUGCAUUCUCUGUGGCUGUGGCAUUGCUUCCUGGGUGAGGCCGUUCAUCACUCCCUGAAGCUCAGGUGGCCAGAGGCAGGCUCUGAUGCAGGUCUCUCCUUCACCUGGUCUAGCUCCUGCAGGCAUGAAGGAAUCCCUGUGCAAUGGGACCCCCCGAUCCUAUUGCUCCUGCAAAUUGCUGUCUUGGCAUUUGGGGUCAGAUAUCUGCCCUCACGGAAGCUGACUGUUAACCGCAGGCCUCAGCUUCAGACCAAGAAGGAAAUGAAGCCAGCCAAGGGGUGUGUCUGCCUCUUCAGUGGGUGUCCCAGCCAGGGAUUUCCAUGAGUCCCCUUGUCCUCAUAUGGCCUGCUGCCUGUGCCUGGCCUUGUCUCGGAUCUGACUUGUUUCCACCCCAUCCCUUGUUUCCCCAUCCAGUGCAAAGCAUCUGUGCGACUUGGUGUCUUUGACCUGGUGCUACACCUUAUGGAAGCUGGGGAGAGACCAAAACCAGAUGCAGAGCCUCCCAGUCCGGGCUGGAGCCUGGGAAUGCAGGAAGGUCUCUGGACUUCUCCAUCUCAAUUGGUCACUUAGGAAGCAUACAAAGAACAGGACCACACAGGUACACACAUGGCCACACACACAGAGCUCACCACAUGCUCGCAUACACACACGCGCACACACACACACUCCAACACACGCACACACAUCCCCAUAUGCACACAUACACACGUGCAUGCAUGUACACAUGCACACAUGACACGCAUAGACAUACACACAUGUGCGCGUGCACACACACACACACACACACGAAGCUGGCCUUUCUGGCAAACAUCAGCUGUCUCAUGGGGAAAGCAGCUGCCAUGGGGAUGGGAGGGCCUGGCUGGGGAAGAUGUUGGCCACGGGCGGGAGUCUCUCUCAGCUGUGAGAAAGUUCCCUCCUCUGAGUUGCUCUAAAGUUAGGAAUAGAGCCUGCUCCUUCCCUUUGACAGAUGUCCUGAGGUCAGUGCUAAGGUUGUUCAAGGAAAAUAAGGAACGACAGGGCAGAAACGUCAAGGGAGGAAGGAAAGGAAGAAAGGGCGGAUCUGAAGGAAGCCCUGCCUGCAAGAUGCCAGGGGUAACACCUUGCUCCACAGGGCCAGACCCGAGGGUUUCUGAGCCGUGACUCUGGCUAAGCCCUUCACUGCUCUGGGCUGCAAAAGGAGGAUCACAGCACCUCCCGUGGGUGGGCAGGAUUACUUAAGAUGACGCAGGACAGCGCCCAGAGCAGCUUGGUGCUCCGGGAACGCCUUCCGCGGAAUGAAGCGGCCCAUGCCCUUGUUGACGUUGAUGUUUCCGUCUUCAAAGACGAUCUUGCCCUGGCUGAUGACCACUAGUGGGGAGCCGUGGCACUCCAUACCCUCGAAGAUGUUGUACUCCACCGCCUGCACCAACAGCCUCAGUGUUACUUCCCAGGAUUUGCUCUGCCCCAAACGAGCUGUUCAUAACAGCGAUUUUGCCUAACAUUAUAUCAUAAGCGUGUUCCAAUGUUUUUUUUUCUCUCUAAAAAUACCUUUUAUUGACUGUAAUAUUCCACUGUAUGGUCCACAGUGUAUAUAACCAACAACUCACCGUUGCGCAUGUAGGCUGCCGGUGGCUUUCUAUAAUCAAAUCAAUAUUGUUCUGGGGCAUCACAAAGAGGAAGGGGGUCCCCCGGGGUUAUGCAAUGUGGCUGCUUUGACUGUACUGGACAUAAAAAUAAGUAAAAUGUUCUUCAUUUUACUUAAAAUGUGUCUUUAAAUAAAAUUUUUUUCUCUAGGUUUCUAAAAUCAAAUUACUGGGUGAAAGAAUAGAGCUGUUUUAAAGCACGUGUGCCAUAUGGCCAAAUUAUUUUCCCAAGGGUUCAGAUCAAUUGACACGAUAUCGGCACUUACCCCCUCCAGCAUUGGGUAAUGCCAUUUUUUUCUUUCUCUGCUAAUUUGAAAGACAAAAUAACAUUUCCUUUAAAACACACAUUCGGCCGGGCACGGUGGCUCAUGCCUGUACCCCCAACUACUCGGGAGGCUGAGGUAUGAGAACUGCUUGAAUCUGGGAGGUGGAGGUUGCAGUGAGCCGAGAUCGUGCCACUGCACUCCAGCCUGGGGGACAGAGCGAGACUCUGUCUCCAGAAAAAAACAAAACAAAAAACUCA